UACGCGUGGGAACGUACCCUUUUCUACGGAAUAACGCAUGGAAACGUGUGCUAAUACCGUAUAAGCCCUUCGGGGGAAAGAUUAUCGGGAAAGGAUCGGCCCGCGUUGGAUUAGCUAGUUGGUGGGGUAAAGGCCUACCAAGGCGACGAUCCAUAGCUGGUCUGAGAGGAUGAUCAGCCACAUUGGGACUGA
This 192-nucleotide ribosomal RNA is filed under the name uncultured Rhizobium sp. Its description in RNAcentral is "partial 16S ribosomal RNA". It matches the Rfam family "Bacterial small subunit ribosomal RNA", at positions 112 to 322 of the family's 1533-position model. The record is from RNAcentral. Lineage: Bacteria; Pseudomonadati; Pseudomonadota; Alphaproteobacteria; Hyphomicrobiales; Rhizobiaceae.